UGUUUUGCUCCCAUAGCAAGGAAUCAGUGAGGAGAAAAUUAGUUAUUGAGGUUUCUUUAAAUGAAUCUCUUCUGCCAUCUUUGCUGCUAUAAUAUGAAGCUAAGUGUGUGUAAGGUUUUAAAAAUGUGAUAUUACAACUUACAAGGCACAACAUUCAUCAAUGGUUCUGGAGAUGUUAGUUUUCACUUGUUGACAGUUGGACAGAAAUCUCCCAGCGUCCAAUUUGGGAUUAGAUUCACAUUACCACUGUUUUGAUGUGUAUUGUUAUGACUUAAUUCCUCAAACUAGAGACAUUGUUAGAUGAUAGUGUGAACAAGAAAGUUGAAAUGGAGAUAGCCAGUGGUGGCACUCCAAUGACGGUGAACUUUUGAGAAAUGGUCGUAGUGUUGUGGAGCAAUGGUACUUAUUUUUACUAACCUUUUCCCUUUGUUUUUCAUUUGAAGGUUGCAACUAUGGCAUUCUUUAGAAAAGUUGGGUAUGUACUUAAACAGAGUGUAAGUAAGUAGUUUACUUCGCAAAUUUCAGCAUCAAAUUCCACUAUUUACGAGGCUAUCAGAUGCAUGUCUUCAUCAAAAGUCUUUUUUGGAGGUCUCUCAUAGUCUGUAGAUGACAUAUCCUUACGGGAUACCUUUGCUCGAUAUGGCAAAGUUGUUGAAGCCUCUGGUUAUCCGAUGAGUGCUGCAUGGUGUAUAGCUAGGAUUUGUGAGGGCGUGCAACAGAAAUGGAGCAUCCUGUGAUUUCCGUGAUUGAUGCCUCUGGAGCAAGGAGCCAUUAGCAGUGUUUCUGCUUGCAUGCAGGACAACCAAGUUACAGCAAUGAUCAUAGUAUAUAGGGCAAGGAUAAAACAACAGAAGAAAGAAGAAUUGCUGGUUGUAUUUUUGAUGAUGUUGUGGAGUAUUGUCGUGAAGCAACACGUAGAUAUUACAAUAUGUUCCUUUCCUUUUGGAAACUUGCAAUGAUGAGAAUUCAGAUGUUCGACAGGUGACUUUGAAUUCCUGUUGUAUUUGUGUAAUCACAAGAGUUGCAUUUAGUACUAUGAUUUAAUUGUAUAACAGGUUGUUGUUUAUGGUCUUGGUGUUUGUGCUGAGUUUGGUGGUUCUGUAUUCAAGCCUCUUGUUGGAGGUAUGAUUAUCUUGCUUUGUUGUGCUACUUCAAGUUGGACUUCAUAUUAUCUGUUGACAUGUGAAUUGGAAUUGUUUGAGGCACUCAUUCCCUGGGACGAACCUGGAAAAGAAACAGCUGCUACCUAUAAUGUCAGAUAACCUACUUUACAAUAUGGAUAGACCUUUGUCUUCGGAUUCAGACAGCUCCUCGAAGAAGCAGAAUACCUCUAAUGUUCAAAGUGAAGUCGUUGUAGUAGCUGUAGUGAACACACUGGUGCAAGAAAGCUUUUCAUAUGAGAAUGUAACAAAGAAAAACCAGAAAUUUAGACCUGCCAAAUUAUCUCUUCAGGUCCUGAAAUCCAGACAAGUGAGUCCCCUCAAGGAGAAAUCUUUGAAUCAAAAACAAUACUCAUCCGCCCCACCAAUGCAAAACCAAGUCUUAGCAAGUGCAAGCUUAAAACAUAUUUCUAACAGAAGACGAACUCAGAGUGGUACAAAAGAUGCAGGUUCUCAUAAGCGAUGGGUGUAGUAAGUACACAUAUUUGCUUUGGUGGAGCUUCAUAUGUAUUUGUUUGGUUGGAUCAUGUCACACUGUAAAAGAAAAACUUUUAUGAAGGUAUGAUGCCCAAUGCACUGUCGAGUGUCUGCUACUCGUGAUCUUCAAUUUCAAUAUUUGCCUUAUUGGAAUGGUAUUUGAUCAUGUCACACUGUAAAAGAAAAACUUUUGUUUUGAUUUAUUGGAAUGGUGUUUAAAAGCUUUAGGUCCU
RNA transcript from Amaranthus tricolor (Joseph's coat), 1870 nucleotides. RefSeq lists it as uncharacterized. The transcript is spliced from 8 exons. Lineage: Eukaryota; Viridiplantae; Streptophyta; Magnoliopsida; Caryophyllales; Amaranthaceae. The record is from RefSeq and is a predicted model, not a curated record.